CCUACGGGAGGCAGCAGUGGGGAAUAUUGCGCAAUGGGCGAAAGCCUGACGCAGCGACGCCGCGUGAGGGAUGAAGGUCUUCGGAUCGUAAACCUCUGUCAGCAGGGAAGAACGGUCACUGUGCUAAUCAGCAGUGAAUUGACGGUACCUGCAAAGGAAGCACCGGCUAACUCCGUGCCAGCAGCCGCGGGAAUACGGAGGGUGCGAGAGUUAAUCGGAAUUACUGGGCGUAAAGCGCUCGUAGGCGGUAUGUCAAGUCAAGGGUGAAAGCCCCGUGCUCAACGUGGUAACUGCCUGUGAAACUGGCAAACUGGAGUGUGUGAGAGGAUAGUGGAAUUCCAGGUGUAGGAGUGAAAUCCGUAGCUAUCUGGAGGAACAUCAGUGGCGAAGGCGACUAUCUGGCACAUAACUGACGCUGAGGAGCGAAAGCGUGGGUAGCAAACAGGAUUAGAUACCCCAGUAGUC
RNAcentral lists this ribosomal RNA (465 nucleotides) under uncultured bacterium. RNAcentral's name for it is "partial 16S ribosomal RNA". It matches the Rfam family "Bacterial small subunit ribosomal RNA", at positions 338 to 795 of the family's 1533-position model. The record is from RNAcentral.